This 27-nucleotide non-coding RNA is filed under the name Homo sapiens (human). The record is from RNAcentral. Lineage: Eukaryota; Metazoa; Chordata; Mammalia; Primates; Hominidae.
UUCCUCAUUGUGUGGAUGUUUGUGUGU